ACCUGAAACCGUGUACGUACAAGCAGUGGGAGCCUCUUAAUGGGGUGACUGCGUACCUUUUGUAUAAUGGGUCAGCGACUUAUAUUCUGUAGCAAGGUUAACCGAAUAGGGGAGCCGAAGGGAAACCGAGUCUUAACUGGGCGUUAAGUUGCAGGGUAUAGACCCGAAACCCGGUGAUCUAGCCAUGGGCAGGUUGAAGGUUGGGUAACACUAACUGGAGGACCGAACCGACUAAUGUUGAAAAAUUAGCGGAUGACUUGUGGCUGGGGGUGAAAGGCCAAUCAAACCGGGAGAUAGCUGGUUCUCCCCGAAAGCUAUUUAGGUAGCGCCUCGUGAAUUCAUCUCCGGGGGUAGAGCACUGUUUCGGCAAGGGGGUCAUCCCGACUUACCAACCCGAUGCAAACUGCGAAUACCGGAGAAUGUUAUCACGGGAGACACACGGCGGGUGCUAACGUCCGUCGUGAAGAGGGAAACAACCCAGACCGCCAGCUAAGGUCCCAAAGUCAUGGUUAAGUGGGAAACGAUGUGGGAAGGCCCAGACAGCCAGGAUGUUGGCUUAGAAGCAGCCAUCAUUUAAAGAAAGCGUAAUAGCUCACUGGUCGAGUCGGCCUGCGCGGAAGAUGUAACGGGGCUAAACCAUGCACCGAAGCUGCGGCAGCGACACUAUGUGUUGUUGGGUAGGGGAGCGUUCUGUAAGCCUGUGAAGGUGGCCUGUGAGGGUUGCUGGAGGUAUCAGAAGUGCGAAUGCUGACAUAAGUAACGAUAAAGCGGGUGAAAAGCCCGCUCGCCGGAAGACCAAGGGUUCCUGUCCAACGUUAAUCGGGGCAGGGUGAGUCGACCCCUAAGGCGAGGCCGAAAGGCGUAGUCGAUGGGAAACAGGUUAAUAUUCCUGUACUUGGUGUUACUGCGAAGGGGGGACGGAGAAGGCUAUGUUGGCCGGGCGACGGUUGUCCCGGUUUAAGCGUGUAGGCUGGUUUUCCAGGCAAAUCCGGAAAAUCAAGGCUGAGGCGUGAUGACGAGGCACUACGGUGCUGAAGCGACAAAUGCCCUGCUUCCAGGAAAAGCCUCUAAGCAUCAGGUAACAUCAAAUCGUACCCCAAACCGACACAGGUGGUCAGGUAGAGAAUACCAAGGCGCUUGAGAGAACUCGGGUGAAGGAACUAGGCAAAAUGGUGCCGUAACUUCGGGAGAAGGCACGCUGAUAUGUAGGUGAAGCGACUUGCUCGUGGAGCUGAAAUCAGUCGAAGAUACCAGCUGGCUGCAACUGUUUAUUAAAAACACAGCACUGUGCAAACACGAAAGUGGACGUAUACGGUGUGACGCCUGCCCGGUGCCGGAAGGUUAAUUGAUGGGGUUAGCGGUAACGCGAAGCUCUUGAUCGAAGCCCCGGUAAACGGCGGCCGUAACUAUAACGGUCCUAAGGUAGCGAAAUUCCUUGUCGGGUAAGUUCCGACCUGCACGAAUGGCGUAAUGAUGGCCAGGCUGUCUCCACCCGAGACUCAGUGAAAUUGAACUCGCUGUGAAGAUGCAGUGUACCCGCGGCAAGACGGAAAGACCCCGUGAACCUUUACUAUAGCUUGACACUGAACAUUGAGCCUUGAUGUGUAGGAUAGGUGGGAGGCUUUGAAGUGUGGACGCCAGUCUGCAUGGAGCCGACCUUGAAAUACCACCCUUUAAUGUUUGAUGUUCUAACGUGGGCCCCUUACCGGGGUUGCGGACAGUGUCUGGUGGGUAGUUUGACUGGGGCGGUCUCCUCCUAAAGAG
RNAcentral lists this ribosomal RNA (1764 nucleotides) under Escherichia coli O25b:H4-ST131. RNAcentral describes it as "partial 23S ribosomal RNA". It matches the Rfam family "Bacterial large subunit ribosomal RNA", at positions 548 to 2297 of the family's 2925-position model. The record is from RNAcentral. Lineage: Bacteria; Pseudomonadati; Pseudomonadota; Gammaproteobacteria; Enterobacterales; Enterobacteriaceae.